This 260-nucleotide ribosomal RNA is filed under the name uncultured bacterium. RNAcentral describes it as "partial 16S ribosomal RNA". It matches the Rfam family "Bacterial small subunit ribosomal RNA", at positions 92 to 354 of the family's 1533-position model. The record is from RNAcentral.
GUAACGCGGUACGGGUAACCGUCGCCCUACUAACAACGGGUAGGGGGUAAUAACGUACUUAAGAAUAGUGCUAAUACCGCAUAAGCGCACGGGACUGCAUGUCUUGUGUGAAAAACUCCGGUGGUGUGAGAUGGACCCGCGUCUGAUUAGCUGGUUGGCGGGGUAACGGCCCACCAAGGCGACGAUCAGUAGCCGGCCUGAGAGGGUGGACGGCCACAUUGGGACUGAGACACGGCCCAAACUCCUACGGAAGGCAGCAG